AGCGUGGGAAGUUUAUUGCCUAUG
RNAcentral lists this non-coding RNA (24 nucleotides) under Arabidopsis thaliana (thale cress). Lineage: Eukaryota; Viridiplantae; Streptophyta; Magnoliopsida; Brassicales; Brassicaceae. The record is from RNAcentral.